Molecule: ribosomal RNA, 253 nt
Filed under: uncultured bacterium
Lineage: Bacteria
Description: partial 16S ribosomal RNA
Rfam family: Bacterial small subunit ribosomal RNA
Source: RNAcentral
GACAGAGGAUGCAAGCGUUAUCCGGAAUGAUUGGGCGUAAAGCGUCUGUAGGUGGCUUUUUAAGUCUGCCGUCAAAUCCCAGGGCUUAACCCUGGACAGGCGGUGGAAACUACCAAGCUGGAGUACGGUAGGGGCAGGGGGAAUUUCCGGUGGAGCGGUGAAAUGCGCAGAUAUCAGGAAGAACACCCGUGGCGAAGGCGGCUCUCUGGGACGGUACUGACGCUGAGACGCGAAAGCGUGGGGAGCGAACAGG